Molecule: small RNA, 585 nt
Filed under: Pan troglodytes (chimpanzee)
Lineage: Eukaryota; Metazoa; Chordata; Mammalia; Primates; Hominidae
Description: retained intron
Source: RNAcentral
GUCGAGGCCGGGGCCGGCUGAGUGAAAGGGUGGGUGAUUAUCCCGGGAGAUAGGCCGAAAGGGCGGAAGCGAAAUAUUAAAAAGGGAGCCGUUCCCCGCUCUAUCCCCAAUCUAGCGGAGGUAAAGAAGAAAGGCAAAAUGAAGAAGCUCGGCCAAGCAAUGGAAGAAGACCUAAUCGUGGGACUGCAAGGGAUGGAGCUGAACCUUGAGGCUGAAGCACUGGCUGGCACUGGCUUGGUGUUGGAUGAGCAGCUAAAUGAAUUCCAUUGCCUCUGGGAUGACAGCUUCCCGGAAGGCCCUGAGCGGCUCCAUGCCAUCAAGGAGCAACUGAUCCAGGAGGGCCUCCUAGAUCGCUGCGUGUCCUUUCAGGCCCGGUUUGCUGAAAAGGAAGAGCUGAUGUUGGUUCACAGGUGAAGGCUUGGGAGCCUUGUAGGGAUGGGGAGGAGCCUGCCCUGGACAAACCAGGGCAAGCUAAACGCUUUGGGAAGCAAUGUCAUGGUCUCUGCAGCCAGCCUUGGGCAAGUCGCUGAGCCUUUCUGAAUCUGUGUCAUCGCCUGUAACAAGGGGACCAGUAAACAUAAGUUC